UGCGUAGGCGGGCUAAUAAGUCAGUGGUGAAAUCUCUCGGCUCAACCGGGAAACUGCCAUUGAUACUGUUAGUCUUGAGUUCGGUUGCGGUAGGCGGAAUGUGUAAUGUAGCGGUGAAAUGCUUAGAUAUUACACAGAACACCAAUUGCGUAGGCAGCUUACUAGACCGACACUGACGCUGAGGCACGAAAGCGUGGGGAGCGAACAGGAUUAGAUACCCUGGUAGUCC
RNAcentral lists this ribosomal RNA (229 nucleotides) under uncultured bacterium. RNAcentral describes it as "partial 16S ribosomal RNA". It matches the Rfam family "Bacterial small subunit ribosomal RNA", at positions 568 to 796 of the family's 1533-position model. The record is from RNAcentral.